GACGUAGGGUGCAAGCGUUGUCCGGAUUUACUGGGCGUAAAGAGCGCGUAGGCGGCUCGUUAAGUGAGAAGUGAAAGCUGUGGGCUCAACCCACAAACCGCUUUUCAUACUGGCGAGCUGGGGUGAUGCAGAGGUGGAUAGAAUUCCUGGUGUAGCGGUGAAAUGCGUUGAUAUCAGGAGGAAUACCCGUGGCGAAGGCGGUCCACUGGGCAUCAACUGACGCUGAGGCGCGAAAGCGUGGGUAGCAAAAGGG
Molecule: ribosomal RNA, 253 nt
Filed under: uncultured bacterium
Lineage: Bacteria
Description: partial 16S ribosomal RNA
Rfam family: Bacterial small subunit ribosomal RNA
Source: RNAcentral